RNAcentral lists this transfer RNA (81 nucleotides) under Caudoviricetes sp. Its description in RNAcentral is "tRNA-Leu". It matches the Rfam family "tRNA". From Rfam's summary of the family: Transfer RNA (tRNA) molecules are approximately 80 nucleotides in length. Their secondary structure includes four short double-helical elements and three loops (D, anti-codon, and T loops). Lineage: Duplodnaviria; Heunggongvirae; Uroviricota; Caudoviricetes. The record is from RNAcentral.
GCCGGGUUGGUGGAACUGGCAGACACAACGGAUUCAAAAUCCGCCGCCUUUGGCGUAUGGGUUCAAAUCCCAUACCCGGCA